ACAAUAAUCAGCAGACAACAUUGUACCGUAUUUAUCAACUUUUGUUUCAUUUUGAUACAGCAAAAACGAAAUAAAGGUUUCAAACAAUGGAGAAUUCUAAGGUUCCAACUAUUCCUACUUUGGAUGAAAUUUUGAAAGAUUUUCCUCCAGGACCAUUAGAUGUUUAUCGCAAAAAAGCAUCUUUCGAUUGGAAAAAACUAAAAUUACAUAUUCACGGUGAAGAUUACCUUAAAUUUCAGGUGAGAUACGUUUACUUUUGUAAAUAUUUUAAGCAAGUUUUAUUUUGUCCCAGUAAAUGAACCUUGAAAAAAGUUUUUGUUACCUUAUUGAAUCUCAAGGUCGUGAUAGGGGGCAAGAUAAAGAUUUCUUGAAAUUUUAUUGUCAAUAUCAGUAGUUUUUGUAUUGAUAAAAUUGACAAAAAAAGAGUAAUUAAUAUAUUGUUAUCGAGUUAACUAAUAUAGUUUAUAUCUUUAAAAGCGAAAAAGUAGAGCUUUUAAAAGUUCUAUAGAUGGAAUGUAAAUAUUUAUUAAUUACUCUAAAUUUAAAUGCAUUUUUAAGGAAAAAUAUAAACUCAAAGGAAAAUAUGCAUAUAAUUUAUAGUAUGCUGUUUGGAAUGCCUUGGAAAAUGAUCCCAUUUUUUACCAUUCGGAUAAAUCAAUAAGUUUAGAAGAAGAACGUGAAAGAACGUUUAAUCGAGUGAAGCGUCUCUUCGAAUAUGAUUUUGGUAAUAGCGAAGCAGCGGGUAAUUGUGGGCCAAUGGCUGGUCAUGCAUCAGUAUGCACACUGUUGCCUGUAGACGGGUCUAUGAAUACGCGAUAUGGAUUGAGUGUCUUUGUACGUAAACUUAUUUCUCUUUUUUUUCAAAACAGUACACUAUUUGGAAUGCUCUUGAAAAUGAUCCAACAUUCACUCGCAAUAUUGGAAGUUUAACCUUAGAACAAAUCCGAAAAAAUUCAGACAAUCAUGUUAAACGAUAUUUUGAAUAUGAUUUUUUAAAUGAUGACGAUAUUGCCAACAAUCCACUUCUGGUUGUCGCUCACAUUGGAGCAUUAUCUAGCUAUGAUCCAAGUUCCUAUGCUAAAAAUAUGCUCAAUAGAGAGGUUUCCAUUCUCAAUAAAUUAAGCCAAUUAAUUUCCAUUUAAAUGCAAUAAAAAGCAUCUUAUUUUUUGAGUAAUUUUAUAUAUUCAUAUCAAAAUCUAAUUCAGAUGUUCGGAAGAACAACUAGAACUGCUGGUUCCGAAAGACAUAAAGAAUAUUUUGAUGAUGUUACAAACUUUCAAAAAUUUGGAUGUUUUGCUUUAACCGAAUUGAGCCACGGAUCGAAUACAAAAGCAAUGAGAACUACUGCAACGUAUGAUCCAUCUACUGAACAGUUCAUUCUAAAUACGCCGGAUAUCGAAGCAACGAAAAUUUGGGUAGGAAAUCUUGGUAAAACAGCUACUCACGCCGUUGUCUAUGCCCAAUUAAUUACUCCAGAUGGAGUGAAUCACGGACUUCAUUCAUUUGUUGUUAAAGUUCGAGAUGAAAGAACACUUCUGGCUGUUCCUGGCGUUAUUGUUGGUGAUAUGGGAGAGAAAAUAGGCUUAAAUGGUAUUGAUAACGGAUUUGUAGCUUUCAAUAAUGUACGAAUCCCAAGAGAAAACCUUUUAAAUAAAACUGGAGACGUUACUUCAGAGGGAAAGUAUGUUACUCCUUUCAAAGAUCCAAAUAAAAGAUUCGGAGCUUCCCUUGGCGCCUUAUCGGGUGGCCGUGUUACAAUUAACUGUAUUUCCGUAACUAACUUGAAAUUAGCUAUCUGUAUCGCUAUUAGAUAUUCAUGUACAAGGCGUCAAUUCGGACCCAAAGAGGGUGUUGAAUUGCCUGUAAUCGAAUAUCAAAUGCAACAAUGGCGAUUAAUACCGUAUUUAGCGGCAGCUUACGUUUUGGAUGUAUUUUCACGUCAAUUUUUCAUGAAUUUUGUUGAAUUACAAAUUGGAUUAAUGGCUGGAGAUAAAUCUGAUAGGCAAGAUAAUUUGGGAAAAGAAUUACAUGCUCUAUCGUGCGCGUCUAAGGCAGUUCAUAGUUGGAUUGCAAGAGAUGCAAUUCAAGAAUGUAGAGAAGCUUGUGGAGGUCACGGUUAUUUUAAAAUUAACAGAUUAGGGGAAUUGAGAAACGAUCAUGAUCCAAAUUGUACUUAUGAAGGAGACAACAAUGUUAUUUUACAGCAAACUAGUAACUACGUUUUGGCAAGCUAUGGAGCAGUGAAAAGAGGUACAAUACUGUCAACUCCCCUGAACGCCUGCGAACCUUUGAAUAGAUUCAAAACUAUUUUGACGUCUACAUUCAGACGUAAAUCUGAUACUGUAUCAUUAAAUGAAGUUAUAGAGGCUUAUGAAUGGCUAAUAUGCUAUUUAAGCGAACAGAGCGCCGAAAAGUUGACUUUGGAAAGCAAAUCAAAUGAUUCCUUUACGGCGAGAAACAAUAGUCAAGUCUACUUUUGCCGAACCCUUGCAAUUGUAACUUUUGAACACCAUCUUUUGAAUCGAGUCCGUGAAUUUGUUAACAACGAAACCGAGGAUAGUCUCAAACCCGUUUUGUCGCAAAUGCUAACACUAUUUUCCGCCUGGAUUCUGGAAAAACACUUGUCUACUUUAUACGAAGGAGGCUAUUGCUCUGGUAAAGACCUAGCAACCUGCGUAAGAAAGACGGUCGUGGAUCUUAGCCAUAACCUCAAGAACGAAGCUGCAGCACUUGUUGAUGCUAUCGCUCCACCAGAUUUUGUUCUAAAUUCCCCAAUUGGCUCUUCCAAUGGAGAAAUUUACAAGAACCUAUACAGUGCAAUGAUUCAAACUCCUGGAGCUUUGGAAAGAACAAAUUGGUGGAGAGAAUUUUCCAAUAAACCAAACGUAGGAAGUUUGAGACCGGUUUCUAAACUCUGAUUCUUUUUUUGUUGAUCAUCUAUUAAAUAAUCAAAUUUAAUUAGGUCAUAAACACCUGUUGAAUUCAAUAAAACUAAAGCGAUUUUAAUCGUUAUUUUAUAUUGUAUGUAUGCACUAUAAACUUUGAAGAACAUCCAUAUUGGCUAUAUUUUACUUUAUCAGAAGAUAAUAAAACUACCAUUUUUCAUUAUUCAUUAUUAACGGCAAACGUAAACUUUACAGAAUGGAAUUUUAUACCAAAUUCAAGAUAUUUAAAUGACAAACUCCAAUUGAUCUAUAUUAUCCACUGCAUUCGUUAGUGACAAUCCAUCAAACUUCAAUUUAAGUGCGAAAUUUCUUUAUAGCACAAGCUUUAAGGCACAUUACAGCUUCAUUUCUUUUAAUAUUCUGAGUACUAAAAUUCAACAAUUUCGUAAAGCAUCAAACGAACAGUUAAAGUUACAUUAUAUGAAUAACUUGGAUUUCUAUGGAAAAGCGCCAUCUUUCUUCUCUUUUCAUCUGCUAGAUGUCG
This 3429-nucleotide unclassified non-coding RNA is filed under the name Dimorphilus gyrociliatus. Its description in RNAcentral is "acyl-coenzyme A oxidase". The record is from RNAcentral. Lineage: Eukaryota; Metazoa; Annelida; Polychaeta; Dinophilidae.